Molecule: unclassified non-coding RNA, 357 nt
Filed under: soil metagenome
Description: partial contains 5.8S ribosomal RNA, internal transcribed spacer 2, and large subunit ribosomal RNA
Rfam family: 5.8S ribosomal RNA (bases 1-120)
Source: RNAcentral
GAUGAAGAACGUAGCGAAAUGCGAUAAGUAAUGUGAAUUGCAGAAUUCAGUGAAUCAUCGAAUCUUUGAACGCACAUUGCGCCCGCCAGUAUUCUGGCGGGCAUGCCUGUCCGAGCGUCAUUUCAACCCUCGAACCCCUCCGGGGGGUCGGCGUUGGGGACCUCGGGAGCCCCUAAGACGGGAUCCGGCCCCGAAAUACAGUGGCGGUCUCGCCGCAGCCUCUCCUGCGCAGUAGUUUGCACAACUCGCACCGGGAGCGCGGCGCGUCCACGUCCGUAAAACACCCAACUUCUGAAAUGUUGACCUCGGAUCAGGUAGGAAUACCCGCUGAACUUAAGCAUAUCAAUAAGCGGAGGA